ACCUUCUUGUUUGAGACUUCAACUAUGACGUUGAGAAUAAUUCUGAUGUGGCGAAAUGUUAUUGGGUGGGCCUAUAUUUUUCUUAUUUGCUAUACAAGUGAACAACUAUAUAUAUAUAUAUAUAUAUAAUUAGGUAAAACAAUAAUUAGAAUAUUAAGAUUAUUUGGAAAUAAAAAAAUAAAUGCAUAGUGUUAAACAAUACUAUCUUUUCCUGUUUUUGAAACCCCAUCGAACAUUUUGAAGCAUGUUAUUGUAAGACUCUUCCAAGAACUUUUCAGUCGUCUACCGCAGUUCUUCAAUAUCUUCACCAUUGAUGUCGGAUUGACUGCGUUCCAUGUUGAGAAGAUUAUAAUAAGCUUCUUUGAAAAAUUUUUCAGUCGCCAUCGCCUUUUCGGCUUCAAUCAAACCCUCGGAGAUAUUUGAUGGUGCUUUUCUCUUCCAAAUAAAAUGGAUUU
RNAcentral lists this long non-coding RNA (455 nucleotides) under Durio zibethinus. RNAcentral describes it as "long non-coding RNA (DZIB_LNC001741)". The record is from RNAcentral. Lineage: Eukaryota; Viridiplantae; Streptophyta; Magnoliopsida; Malvales; Malvaceae.